RNAcentral lists this long non-coding RNA (2102 nucleotides) under Lynx pardinus (Iberian lynx). The record is from RNAcentral. Lineage: Eukaryota; Metazoa; Chordata; Mammalia; Carnivora; Felidae.
CCCAAGGACAGCCCCUACUAUAUUCUGAGAAUUCAGUUGGCAGGAGCGUACCCAUGCAAGAUCUGCAUCUGGGCCGUGGCAGUCAGACCGAGCUCCUUCUCCUGGGAGGGGGCAUCCGGGCAAGAGGAGAGAACCAGCACGCGGUGUGCAGCAUGAUGGGGAAUCAGCAGAAACAGAACUACCCAGGCUUGGCUCGGGAAUCAGAUACGCCAGGCAGGAAUUCGCCCUUGGGAAGCUGUUGCUUAACCCUCUGGUUCCUCGGGCUCCCUGCCUCCUUGACAGAGGCCAAGGCAAACAAGGAUUCCGGGUGAGACCAGACCGACCAGCCGAUGCCAGCUCACUUGGGGUUAGACCGGGGCUGGGAGGGGCCCAGGCAACCCUGCAGGAUGCCGGGUGCUGGGUAGGGCCCCAGGGGGAGGCAGGUUUCUGCAGCUCCCUUUUCCCAGUGGAAAAGCUCAGGAUUCCCAAAGGCUGUUGGGCAAGAGUCUCAAAUUGUCUUCAGACUGGGUCUAAUCUAGCUAGAACCACUUGGGAGCCAGGAUGUAGCUGGAUCCAGUGACAGGCGUCGCUGAGAAGGGAAGAGAGGUCCGGCGACAACUGGGAUCUCCAGUUGACCCAGUCUCAAGGGUGAGCCCAGCCCCUGGGUGUAGGGCUAGGAUCUGUGGCCUUUGGCCAACAGCCGACAACUUGGUAGAGGGUUUCUUCCAUUAUCAGAGGGAAGGGAAGGGGGAGAGGCAUGGGAGAUGGUUGUCUGGGUGUGUUUAUUUUCUUUUAAAAUAUCAACUUGAGUGGGGGGUGCCCACAGGGACACGUAGGGCACGUCGAUGGUCAGCCUGUUCGCUGGGCAAUCCAUGUAAUCUCUGUCCUGCACUGUAUACUGUUGGCACUUGACCAAUGGGUGAAACGCCCCCGUCAUGGCGGCCAUCUUUACGUGAGCAUCUGGACGGCACAGAGGGCUUCUGACACUCACCAGGACUUCUUUCCCAUUAAAAACGGACAGGCUGCAGCAGUCUGGAAGGAGACCAGGGAGAUUAACUCUAAGUUGAAAACAUUUCUCCUUUCUCCAGGAGCCCAAAUAGCACACUGGAGAUCUUGAAGAAUAGGGAGAGGAGGGUUAGCUGACAGUCGGUGCUGUCCUCAGACGAGGUGUCUCUGAUGAAUGAAAUCCCAGGGAGUGCAUUUCUGCUCUUAUAUCUGUCUCUGGCCAGGGCGGUGAGACUAGGCACCUGAUCCUUCUAGUCCAUCGAUUUGCUGUUACUCAGCUCCAAACGCAGAAGUUCAGAGGACAAGCUGCUCCCAGGAGGUCACAAACAGCCUCAACAGUUCAAGAAGGUAAAAAUUGGUGGUUGGAGGUGAGAGAAGCCAGCGAGGGAGGAAGACCACGUCCCAAGGAGGCUCAUGCUCACCACUGUCCGGGUUUUGAAACUCUAGUUUGCCCUGGGGCGCCUGGGGGGCUCAGUCGGUUACACGUCGGACUCUUGGUUUCAGCUCAGGUCGUGAUCUCACAGUUUCGUGGGUUCGAGCCCCGCAUGGGGCUCUGUGCCCACAGCCUUGACAGGGCGGAGCCUGCUUGGGAUUCUCUGUCUCCCUCUCUCUCUGCUCCUCCCCCGCUCGAGCGGUCUCUGUCUCUCUCAAAAUAAAUAAAUACACUUAAAAAAAAAAAAAUCAAGUUUGCUCUCUUCGGUCCCUUGGCUUUGAGGCUGUCUCGACAGACACGAGGAGAAGGCUCAGUACGUGGGAGACAGGCCAUCUGGGCCGGGACCAAAGAGCUGCACAUUCUCAGGUGAGUUCGGGUGAGUCACCGGCCCAGGCCUCUUUCUAGUUAAGCAGAGGCCAUGCCCCAGUUUUGAACACCUGAAGGCCCUGCGGUGGUGGGUGAGGAGCCCGCCCUGAUCUGCAUACAAUGGGGGACAAUUGAAGGUCCAGGUUGGAGAACCGGAACUGAGAACCCACUGCCCUCCGUGCUGCCCCUAGGGGUCUUAUCCCCUUAUUCGCUUCAGUGCUUCCUGGUCCCCUGAGCCAUGCAAGCCUGGCUCCCCUCAAUUCACUGGGGGUGGGGGGAAAGGGGGGUGCCUUUUUGAGUAGUCCUCAGCCAACCCCUC